AUCAACAGUCAGUCAUUUACUGUGGAGAAGAUAAUGCUUGGAUUGGAAGAACCUGUGAAUAUACUGAAUGUUCAAAUUUGCUGUCGAUAACAAAUGGAAAAGUUAAAUUUAUUAAUCGAGUGCCAAAUAGAAUUGCCUCUUACAAAUGCAAUGAGGGAUACAGAGAAGUGGGUCAAUCAUUCUCUAUUUGUCUACAGAAUGGUUCUUGGAGUUAUACAAAUUUUUAUUGUCAUGGUAAGUAUGAUUAUAAUUUGUAUUUAUUACUAUUACUCAGUAUCUAAUAAGUUCAUUUUGCAGAAGUACCAAAUAUAGCCUCUAAUUUCAUUGCUAUAUGUUUAACCAUAGUGACAUCAAUUUGUUUGUUAAUAAUUUUUAUUGGAGUGUCCCAUAAAUUUAAAAAAUUAAAAAGCAAACAUGCAGCAUCAUUAAUGGAAGAACAUUAUUAUUUCAAAUAUGGACUCUCACCGGCUCCCAAUACAGAGCCAAUUGACACCACACGCAAUUCAGCAAUUUAUGAAGAAAUUGCAGAAAAUAUAAUAGAAAUGCCUGAUUCCAUUCCAGAAAAUAACAAGAAUGUAUUGGAUAAAGAGGAAAUGUCAAACAAAACUGAAAAUAUUUACAUGGAACCUACAGAUGAAUAUAAUAAGCAAACACACACAACUUGCAGAACAUAAGCAAGCAUAAUGUAUUGAAGAAUAUUUUAUAUUAAACAUAUCAAAAUGAUGUGAUAGUUGUAAAUAUUUUAAAGUACAAAAAAUUAUAUAUAAUUUUAUGUGAAUUGUUGCAAUUUUACUCAUAGAUUUACCAAGUUUUAAUGUAGUUUUGUAGUUAAGUUAUAAAAAUUCUGAAAUAUUUGCAUCACUAGUUUCAUAUUUAUAUUUUGUGCUCUGUUAUUAACAAAGUAAACUUGUUCUGUUUCAAUUGGAAGCAGUUCCUUGAUGUUCUGGUAGACUUAAGAUGUUGUUUAUCUAGUCAUGUAAUUAUUUGUGUAUUAUAACAAUUUAUCUCAUUGAAACACUUUAUGAAUUAGUAUUUUUUUUAAUGUAAGAAAUUUUAUUGAAAUAAAUAUUGAAUCAUUUAUUAUAUUUGGAUAAUUUGAUUUAUAUCUAUACACUAAACAUUAAAAUGUUCAGAGAUACUUGAAUUCUUUUAGGUAAAUAUGCAUAAUUUAGUUCAGUUAUUGACAAACCAAAGUUACCAGUUUUAUUAAUAAAAUAGGAAAUUCAUGUUCAAAAUGUUCUCAAAAUUACUUUACAACUUAAAUAUAUUAUUUAAAAUCUAUUGAAAAUUAUGCACAGUAAUACAUCUCUCUCAAUGACUUCCACAUCUGGAAGUAUUGUAUCAUUCAAAGACUGGUACUGACUUUGUAAUUUCAUUAUCUAAAAUCUUUCUUUAAAAUAAACUUUUAGCUUAUA
Molecule: long non-coding RNA, 1415 nt
Organism: Centruroides sculpturatus (bark scorpion)
Lineage: Eukaryota; Metazoa; Arthropoda; Arachnida; Scorpiones; Buthidae
Exons: 4
Source: RefSeq, a predicted model, not a curated record